This 37-nucleotide ribosomal RNA is filed under the name Roussoella nitidula. RNAcentral describes it as "partial 28S ribosomal RNA". The record is from RNAcentral. Lineage: Eukaryota; Fungi; Ascomycota; Dothideomycetes; Pleosporales; Thyridariaceae.
UUAACCUCGGAUCAGGUAGGGAUACCCGCUGAACUUA